GACGAACGCUGGCGGCGUGCUUAACACAUGCAAGUCGAACGGAAAGGCCCCUUCUGGGGUACUCGAUUGGCGAACAGGUGAGUAACACGUGAGUAACCUGCCCUUGACUUCGGGCUAACUUCAGGAAACUGGGGCUAAUACCUGCUAGAAAUCCUUGCUGCAUGGUGGGGGUUGGAGAGCUUCGUCGGGUUUGGAUUGACUCGCGGCUUAUCAGCUUGUUUGUGGGGUAGUUGCUUACCAAGGCUUUGACGGGUAGCCGGCCUUAGAGGGGUGCCGGGCACAUUGGGACUGGGGUACGGCCCAGACUCCUACGGGAGGCAGCAGUGGGGAAUAUUGCACAAUGGGCGGAAGCCUGAUGCAGCCACGCCGCGGGCGGGAUGACGGCCUUCGGGUUGUAAACCGCUUUCAGCAGGGGCGAAGCUUGUGGUGACGGUACCUGCAGAAGAAGCACCGGCUAACUACGUG
RNAcentral lists this ribosomal RNA (465 nucleotides) under uncultured bacterium. RNAcentral's name for it is "partial 16S ribosomal RNA". It matches the Rfam family "Bacterial small subunit ribosomal RNA", at positions 28 to 507 of the family's 1533-position model. The record is from RNAcentral.